GCGGGGCGUCUCGGGUUCCCCGGAUCCGCGCGGGGCAUGAGCCUCUCCGCGGCCAGCGGCUUCCUUCGCGUCCGUGGCUCCCGCCGCCAUGUCCGUCACUGUCCAGCGGGAGUUUGACGAGCUGGAUGCUCGGAAUUGCUGGCAGCAGCUGUACCUGGAAAUUCGAAAUGAGUCCCAUGACUAUCCUCAUAGAGUGGCCAAGUUUCCAGAAAACAGGAAUCGAAACAGAUACAGAGAUGUGAGCCCAUAUGAUCACAGUCGUGUUAAACUGCAAAAUACUGAAAAUGAUUAUAUUAAUGCCAGUUUAGUUGACAUAGAAGAGGCACAGAGGAGUUACAUCUUAACACAGGGUCCGCUUCCUAAUACAUGUUGUCAUUUCUGGCUCAUGGUUUGGCAGCAAAAGACCAAAGCAGUUGUCAUGCUAAACCGCAUUGUAGAGAAGGAAUCGGUUAAAUGUGCACAGUACUGGCCAACAAAAGAUGACCAAGAGAUGCUGUUUAAAGAAACAGGAUUCAUUGUGAAGUUCUUAUCAGAAGAUGUGAAAUCGUACUAUACAGUGCAUCUACUACAAUUAGAAAAUAUCAGUAGUGGUGAAACCAGAACAAUAUCUCACUUUCAUUAUACCACCUGGCCAGAUUUUGGAGUCCCUGAAUCACCAGCUUCAUUUCUCAAUUUCUUAUUUAAAGUGAGAGAAUCUGGCUCCUUGAACCCUGAGCACGGGCCCGCUAUAGUUCACUGCAGUGCCGGCAUCGGGCGAUCUGGCACUUUUUCAUUAGUAGACACCUGUCUGAUUUUGAUGGAAAAAGGAAAUGAUAUUAACAUUAAACAAGUAUUACUGAACAUGAGAAAAUAUCGAAUGGGACUUAUUCAGACACCAGAUCAACUCAGAUUCUCAUAUAUGGCUAUAAUAGAAGGAGCAAAGUUUAUUAAGGGAGAUUCAAAUAUACAGAAACGGUGGAAAGAACUUUCUAAGGAAGACUUGUCUCCUGCUUUUGAUCAUUCACCAACCAAAAUAGUGACUGAAAGGUACAAUGGGAACAGAAUGAGCUUAGAAGAAGGAAAAGUUACAGGUGACAGGUGUACAGGACUGUCCUCUAAAAUGCAAGAUACUGUAGAGGAAAAGAGCGAGAGCGCUCUGCGGAAACGUAUUCGAGAGGACAGAAAAGCUAACACGGCUCAGAAGGUGCAACAGAUGAAGCAGAGGCUAAACGAGACUGAACGAAAAAGAAAAAGGUGGUUAUAUUGGCAACCUAUUCUCACUAAGACCGGGUUUGUGUCAGUCCUUUUGGUUGGCGCUUUUGUUGGCUGGACGCUGUUUCUUCAGCAAAAUGUCCUAUAAACAAUUAAUCCUGCUGAGCAAGCUUCUGCGUUAGUAGCUGACAGUGCUGCGAUCAUCACAGGGGUUUAUCUGGUGCAGUAGACUAGACGUCAGCCAGAUGAGCGAUAUGUACAGUCACAAGCCAGACAUCUCAGGACUCUCUACUGCAGGUUCCUCUGAAAGCCAAGCUGUAAACACCUCCAUGAUAUAAAGACACUGACAUUUGUUAGAAUUGGCAUGGCUUGCAUCUGUACUCACACAUGUCAGAUGUGGCGUGUCACCUGGCCAGGUUGAGAACAGCUUUACCACAGGGAUUUGUGUUUGGAGGCUAUCAGGAUUUUAACAUGCAUUUGAUACAAGCAAUAAAUAUUGUGGUUUUAUCUACGUUAUUAAUGGAAAGAAAAUGACCUUGAAAUAAUGUGUGUAAUGUGUACUGUACUCUUGACAUGGGCAUCAACAUUUUAUAUUCUUAGUCAUUUCAGGAUAAAUGUAUUUUAUAGCUACCUAUUUGAUCUUACUUUAGCAGUUAAUGUACUUUUUAAAAGCUCAAUUUGAAAAAUAUGUUACCAUAAUAUAAAAAAUUGUAUGUUGGCUUAAUUGUGCUAGAUAAAUUUUCCGCUUUCCUAAAGAGAAGUUUGAUAAAAGCAGUUAGAAAUCUCAAUAAGCAAUUUUUACCAUAUAUUUGCACUUCUUUUAUGUUCACAGUUUUCCCAAUUUUAAAAAGAAAAACAAAUUUUCCCUAAAAAUAUUUUUAAAGGGAAAUUCUUCUUACUGGAAUAGUCAGCAAACAGUUGGUCAAGACUUUGUAAAGAAAUUGGUUUCUGUAAAGCCCAUUGCUACUACUGUUUAUUUUCAUGAAAUUUCGAUGUAAUUACCCUAAUUUAUAAUUGAGAUAAUCAUGAUUUAGGAAAUAAAAAUAAGAAGCAGCGUUUUAUGAGCUAUGAUUUCAGUUUACUAGACUGAAGUUUUCAAGUAAAAUAUUUUUCAAGUUCUUUCUACUUCAAUAAAUAGUAUGAUGCUGUGCAAACCUUACACUGUCCCUUUAACUUCUUAUUGAAUAUUUUUUAAAGCAUGUUGUGUGACGAAUUUAUCCACUCAUUUGAGAGCUGGCCUUUUUCAUGUCCCAACCUUCCAUUCAGUGUUUUGUUUGACAUAAAUCUGAGUCAUUUUCACCUUAAUUGCUAGGAGGAAUGAAGAGUGUACGUUAUUUCAGUGGUUUUCAAACUGUGAUCGUUGGAUGUAGGGGCCAGUGGGAAAGACUCCAAGCUACCAGCCUUUACUUUAAACCACAGCAACUCUGCUUUAUCUGUUUAUAUGCCACAUAGGAUUGCUGCAUAGGGCUUAAUUAUUAAAAUAUAUAUAUAUAUUCCCUUUUUUUUUUUUAAGUCUAAAAACCAUUGAUAUAGAUAGAUUAUCUUGAAUUGAUUUUGGAUGUAUUAAAUUAUGCUGAAAAUAUUUAAAGCAGGAUAUAGGUUAGGUGGUACUCAUAAACCCAUUGCCAUCGAGUUGAUUCAAACUCAAUAGUGACCUGAUCGGACAGUCUUGAAGAGCUGCACCACCAGGGCUCCUAUGUAGGUGUUACUGUGUAUUAAAUUGUGCCCUUACUUAGUAUCACUGUGUCCUGUAACCUUUAAAUGAAGAGGAGUUAAGGGAGAAAACUUAUAUCUGUCUCUGUUGAAUCUGUGUUCAGGUGCCAAGACCUGAUGUUUUAGGUUAUUAUUGGUUUAAAAUCUUUCUUUCCAAUUUGCUUUGGUUUAUCUUUGCUGAAAUACAAUACAUUAUUCUUCAAGCCAGAUAUCAAUAGACCACAUUAAUUUCCAAUUGAAGAGAGCCUUGCUUUAAACAAACCUGUAAAGACUUACAGGAAACAAAUGCUGGUUUUGGUGUUCUUUGCCCUUUGCAAAGUGAGUGUGAUUUACCAGGUCAGGCAGUGGGCACCUGUUGGUGAUCUUCAGCAAGGGCCCAUCAUCUCUCCUCCCCCAAGGUGGUCCUCAAAGACAGUGUUGAACAGUGGAAGCUAUAAAUAGUGUGAAGUUUUUACCAGCAGUAGUAGUUUUGGUGUGUGCCAUGUCUUAGUUAUUAACAACAUAGGCGGCAUAUUUUUGUGCCUGCCGCCAUCACCCUGACCUCCAUUAAAUGGGGUCUGCCAGUCAGAGAACGGGACGCAGGCCCUGUACUGCCUUCUGGGUAACCCAAACCAAAAACCAAACCCACUGCCAUCGAGUCGAUUCCGACUCAUAGCAACCCUAGAGGACAGGGUAGGACUGCCCCAUAGAGUUUCCAGGGAGCACCUGGUGGAUUCAAACUGCCCACCUUUUGGUUAGCAGCCGUAGCACUUAACCACUAUCCCCCCAGGGUUUCCUUCUAGGUAACAUCCAGAGGAAAAGUAUUAAUCACCCUUCCUGGAUUCCGUGUCUUUCAAAAAAAAAAAACGCUGCAUCCUUGGGUCUUAAUAAUAUUUUCUAGUUCGACGGCAGUGGAGUGGGUUUUAGUUUUAACAGAUUUUAAAAUCUGUGGCGUAGUUUGAUUUUAAUGAGGUUUAGUAUUGCCUUUUGAAUAGAUUAUGUUAGAAAAAAAGAUAACAAACAAAGGCUAUUAUUUUCAUAGAAAGUUUCCUUAACUGGUUAAUUCCUCCCCCCCCUAAGAAGCUGAUAGCAACCUUUGGUUUAGCUCUGUCUUCUCUGGCUACAUCAGCUGAUUACAUAUUCCUUUCCAAGCUUAACCCAAAAACCAGAACCCAGUGCCAUCGAGUCAAUUCCGACUCAUAGCGACCCUAUAGGACAGAGUAGAACUGCCCCAUAGAGUUUCGACUCGACGGCACUGGGUUCCAAGCUUCGCCAAGUGUUAUUUGUGCCGGUUUACCACUGAUUCUUGUCCUUGCUUGCACACACACAGUAUAUAAAAAUAUAAUUCUCCAGAUUUAAUUUAUCCACUUAAUAAAUGAUAAUACUUUUUCCCACGUUCUUAAUAGGUUAAAACAUAACAUGUAAAAGUACACAGAGAACUUUAAAACAAAUAGAGAGACCAUUUUUUCAUGUUUAGAGGAGAUAUACACAUUUGCCAAGUUUUCUACCUCUCUGUCCUUUGCCAUUUCACUGGGUAUUGAUAUUUCUACCAAGGAAUGAACAAGAAAGGAGAAAAGAAGGAAAAGAAAACCAAGAACUUGCUAAUGAUCACAUUCUUUUUAAAUCGCUCUGUUUAGCAGGUGUGUCAAAGAAAGGGGCUGUUAACUCUUCAAUUUUACGUGCACCUGUGCUUGUCCCCUUUGUCUGAAAUAAGUCAGAAUUGAUGGUAUGAAUCAAAAAAACAUAUUUUUGUUGAAAAAGUAGUUAGUUUAUGCCAUGGGGCAGUCCUCCAGCUUUUAUAUCAGUUCCUCCUUUGCUUUCAGCAUCAGUGCAAAGUGAUGGUGGCUGCCAUCUCUUGAUCGUUUGCUAUGGGCCAGGCACUGUUCUAAGGCACUUUGCACGUAUUAUCCCAUUUAAUCCUCACAACACGCUUACAAGGUAGGUGAUGUUACAGUUACGCUAUAAUCAGCCUGAGAUUUAGCAUUUCUGCAUCCUUGUAUGGCGCUAUUGUUGACAAGUCUCGUGUGUAUAUAGUAGUAUUUUUAAGAAUUACAUCGUUCUCAAAAACUGCUGCAACUUAUUUCCCUCUUAGAAAACUGCCUCUUAUUAGAUUCUGUACAGAUAGACACAAAUCACAACCUGAUGGUACUGAAAUAUUUUUACUGACCAUUGUACAGUUUACAAGUACCUACACUUCCACAGCACCUGGUUAUUUUACAAAUUUUAAAAAUCUCGUCUUACCCUGACUUCUACCUGAACUUUCAAAAUACAAGUCUUAAGGAGAUUUAAAAAGAAGAAAAUGUAGCCUAAGGCUAAUGCCAUUGUGUAUGUAAUCCCUUUCUGUGUUCAGGCAGGAGUCUAGGAUUCAAGUGUUUUGUAGACAGGAGUUUUUUCUUCUAGCACAUCCACAUGGUUCUGUUGGUGGGGUAGAGAGUGUGUAGCUAGGACACAGGGGACCAUGAGAUUCUCAGAGAUCAGCCAGAUCAGGUAGGUUUCUGCAUAACAAUGGGGAGGGCAGUUGGCGGCUCCAAGGCCACUACUUCACUCCCCCUGCUUCGGGCAUGCACCCCCAGUUUGGAACUAAGUACAUAGCAGAAAUGCCUGUUCUUGAUUCUCGGUUACACAGGAGCAGCUAAUCAAGUCUCUUUUACUUUAAGCCAUAAUUGUAAGUAUUUGGUUUGAUUUCUUUAGAUACGGGGGCACCAAGAUGUUAGGAAUGAAAUUUUGAAAAUAGAAACAGCAUUUUUCCCCAUAAUAAGAUUGCUGUUGUUAGGUGCCAACUCGUAUUGACCCUGUGUACAACAGAACUAAAGGCUUCCGGAUCCUGCGCCAUCUCCAUGAUCAUUGUUAUGCUUAAGCCCAUUGUUAGUCACUGUGUCAGUCCAUGUCAUUGAGGGCCUUCCACACUUCUGAUGACACUCUACCAAGCAUGAUGUCUUUCUCCAGGGACCGGCCCCUCCUGAUAAAAUGUCCAGAGUGAGACGAAGCCUUGCCAUCCUCGCUUCUAGGGAGCAUUCUGGCUACUUCUUCCAAGACGGAUUUGUUCAUUCUUUUGGUUGUCCAUGGUAUAUUCAGUAUUCUUUGCUAACACUGCCAAGAUUGACAGACACCUAAGUAUUCAUGACUUGAGAAUAUUCUGCAGCUAUAAAUUUUGAACCAUUGACGUGCAGAGCAAGACCUGAAGCCGACUCCGGAAACGAAAGUGAGGCUUGAUAGACCUGUAGAUUGCCUCGCGGCUGUCUGUUUACAAAGUAAACUUUACAUCCAGGGAAUGAAGAGCACCCACCAGCAGAAGACUUUACAGAAUCCUUUAAUUUGAUGUAUUAAGUGUUUUUUAAUGCGUGUAUGAAAUGUAGAAAGAUGUAAAAGAAACAAAUUUAGGGGAGACUGCUUUGUAUUCUGCCAUUCCUACUGUAUUUUUAUACUUUUUGGCAGCAUUAAAUAUUUUUAUUAAAUAGA
RNA transcript from Loxodonta africana (African savanna elephant), 6342 nucleotides. It is a transcript of the gene named protein tyrosine phosphatase non-receptor type 2, with no coding region annotated. The transcript has 10 exons. Lineage: Eukaryota; Metazoa; Chordata; Mammalia; Proboscidea; Elephantidae. The record is from RefSeq and is a predicted model, not a curated record.